RNAcentral lists this ribosomal RNA (254 nucleotides) under uncultured bacterium. RNAcentral describes it as "partial 16S ribosomal RNA". It matches the Rfam family "Bacterial small subunit ribosomal RNA", at positions 524 to 776 of the family's 1533-position model. The record is from RNAcentral.
UACGUAGGGUGCGAGCGUUAAUCGGAAUUACUGGGCGUAAAGCGUGCGCAGGCGGUUAUUUAAGUCAGGUGUGAAAGCCCUGGGCUUAACCUAGGAAUUGCGCUUGAGACUGGAUAGCUUGGAGUGCGGCAGAGGGAGGUGGAAUUCCACGUGUAGCAGUGAAAUGCGUAGAGAUGUGGAGGAACACCGAUGGCGAAGGCAGCCCCCUGGGCCAAAACUGACGCUCAGGCACGAAAGCGUGGGGAGCAAACAGG